Molecule: long non-coding RNA, 202 nt
Filed under: Nicotiana benthamiana
Lineage: Eukaryota; Viridiplantae; Streptophyta; Magnoliopsida; Solanales; Solanaceae
Description: long non-coding RNA (NBEN_LNC024625)
Source: RNAcentral
CUGGUCCGUACCUUCGUAGGUGAUUUCUAAUUUGUCCCACAUUUGCUUGGCAGUGGUGCAACAUGAUAUUUUUCGAUAGUCAUCGGGGUUCGCUGCACAAUACAUCAUGUUGAUUGCCUUUCCGUUGUUCUCUAUUUUUCUGAUAUCAUCGGCGCCGUAUUCAUCUUCCGUUUUUGGAACGAGUUCUUCUCCAACCUUUUUG